AGUGAACGCUGGCGGUAGGCCUAACACAUGCAAGUCGAACGGCAGCACAGUAAGAGCUUGCUCUUACGGGUGGCGAGUGGCGGACGGGUGAGGAAUACAUCGGAAUCUACUUUUUCGUGGGGGAUAACGUAGGGAAACUUACGCUAAUACCGCAUACGACCUACGGGUGAAAGCAUGGGAUCUUCGGACCUUGCGCGAUUGAAUGAGCCGAUGUCGGAUUAGCUAGUUGGCGGGGUAAAGGCCCACCAAGGCGACGAUCCGUAGCUGGUCUGAGAGGAUGAUCAGCCACACUGGAGCUGAGACACGGUCCAGACUCCUACGGGAGGCAGCAGUGGGGAAUAUUGGACAAUGGGCGCGAGCCUGAUCCAGCCAUACCGCGUGGGUGAAGAAGGCCUUCGGGUUGUAAAGCCCUUUUGUUGGGAAAGAAAAGCAGCAGGUUAAUACCCCGCUGUUCUGACGGUACCCAAAGAAUAAGCACCGGCUAACUUCGUG
This 492-nucleotide ribosomal RNA is filed under the name uncultured bacterium. Its description in RNAcentral is "partial 16S ribosomal RNA". It matches the Rfam family "Bacterial small subunit ribosomal RNA", at positions 29 to 507 of the family's 1533-position model. The record is from RNAcentral.